Tetranychus urticae (two-spotted spider mite) is the source of this 462-nucleotide long non-coding RNA. RefSeq lists it as uncharacterized. Lineage: Eukaryota; Metazoa; Arthropoda; Arachnida; Trombidiformes; Tetranychidae. The record is from RefSeq and is a predicted model, not a curated record.
AUCAGUUUCAGUUCAAACCACACCAAGUUAUUCAAACAGUUUUUGCAAUUAAGUGUUCUAAUUAAUCAUAAAAAAGUUAAAAUGCGGUUCUUCAAAAUCACUUUUCUUGUUAUUUUCGUUACUUUUGUAGGUGUUUUCAGUUUCGUUACAGCAGCACAAACUGAAAUGGGGGACUUUGGCAUGGUAAUGGACAACAUUGAUGAGAUGGUACAAGGAAAUGAUAACAAAACUGCAAAAAGUCCAGAAAAGUCAAUCAAUCCAAAUCCACCUGGGAGCGAAAGUGAAGAUGAUCAGCCCCAAUCUAUGGGUACUUGAGCUUAUUACCUUGAUAGCACCUAGUUACGGGACCUUGUUGGGUAAAAGAAUGAAAAAUUAAACUCAAUUAUUCGCUAUCAAGAAAAUCUUCUGCUGUUCCUGAACUUUAAAACUUCCGAAUUAUAUUAAAAAUGAUUUUCAAAGUAA